AACCGUCAUAAAAAAGUAGAAGAAGAGUUUCACAAUUCAAACUGUUUAAAAUCUACUGAUGUCCUGCAGCAAAAAUUAGCAACAGAGUUAGCAUCAGUCACCAGAGAAAUGUCACAGUUCAGCAGCUGAAAGUGUUGAAACUGACCGGAGUGAAGGGAAGCAGGCGGCGGCCGGGCUGGAGGCGGGAGCGGCGGCCGGGCUGGAGGCGGGAGCGGCGGCCGGGCUGGAGGCGGGAGCGGCGGCCGGGUGAGGCUGAGAACAGCGAGAGGCUUUUCUUCAGCGCGCCGAGGUGAGAUGUUUGUCAGACUGAAGGCCUGCGAGUCAAGCUGACGUCUUGAAGAGAUUGGAGUGGCUCUGAGAAAACAAUCUGCCUUCAUCCCCUCAAAGAAAAAUACAAGCUAACGCUUCAGCCAUGAAGUUAAAAACGUUGCAUGCUUUGGAUGUUUGAUGAACCGGGAUCAGGUGAAACCUCCUCUGCAGCGGCGGCGGCGC
Molecule: long non-coding RNA, 492 nt
Organism: Xiphophorus couchianus (Monterrey platyfish)
Lineage: Eukaryota; Metazoa; Chordata; Actinopteri; Cyprinodontiformes; Poeciliidae
Exons: 4
Source: RefSeq, a predicted model, not a curated record